Molecule: ribosomal RNA, 478 nt
Filed under: uncultured bacterium
Lineage: Bacteria
Description: partial 16S ribosomal RNA
Rfam family: Bacterial small subunit ribosomal RNA
Source: RNAcentral
GACGAACGCUGGCGGCGUGCUUAACACAUGCAAGUCGAACGGAAAGGCCCUUCGGGGUACACGAGUGGCGAACGGGCGAGUAACACGUGGGUGAUCUGCCCUGCACUUCGGGAUAAGCCCGGGAAACUGGGUCUAAUACCGGAUAGGACCACUGCCUGCAUGGGUGGUGGUGGAAAGCUUUUGCGGUGUGGGAUGGGCCCGCGGCCUAUCAGCUUGUUGGUGGGGUGAUGGCCUACCAAGGCGACGACGGGUAGCCGGCCUGAGAGGGGGACCGGCGACACUGGGACUGAGAUACGGCCCAGACUCCUACGGGAGGCAGCAGUGGGGAAUAUUGCACAAUGGGCGCAAGCCUGAUGCAGCGACGCCGCGUGAGGGAUGACGGCCUUCGGGUUGUAAGCCUCUUUCAGCACCGACGAAGCGCAAGUGACGGUAGGUGCAGAAGAAGGACCGGCCAACUACGUGCCAGCCGCCGCAGUAA